GACCGGCGCACGGGUGAGUAACACGUAUCCAACCUGCCGAUAACUCUGGAAUAGCCUUUCGAAAGAAAGAUUAAUACCGGAUGGCAUACGAAUAUCGCAUGAUAUUUUUAUUUAAAGAAUUUCGGUUAUCGAUGGGGAUGCGUUCCAUUAGUUUGUUGGCGGGGUAACGGCCCACCAAGACAACGAUGGAUAGGGGUUCUGAGAGGAAGGUCCCCCACAUUGGAACUGAGACACGGUCCAA
Molecule: ribosomal RNA, 241 nt
Filed under: uncultured bacterium
Lineage: Bacteria
Description: partial 16S ribosomal RNA
Rfam family: Bacterial small subunit ribosomal RNA
Source: RNAcentral